RNAcentral lists this ribosomal RNA (494 nucleotides) under uncultured bacterium. Its description in RNAcentral is "partial 16S ribosomal RNA". It matches the Rfam family "Bacterial small subunit ribosomal RNA", at positions 28 to 507 of the family's 1533-position model. The record is from RNAcentral.
GACGAACGCUGGCGGCGUGCUUAAUACAUGCAAGUCGAACGGUGAAGCGCCUUCCUUUUUGGUGGGUGAGGAUGAGUGGCGAACGGGGGAGGAACACGUGAGUAACCUGCCCCCUUCUCCUGGAUAACCGCAUGAAAGUGUGGCCAAUACGGGAUAUUCUGGGUCAGUCGCUUGAUGGGUCCGGGAAAGAGAUUGUCUCGGUGGGGGAUGGGCUCGCGGCUUAUCAGCUUGGUGGUGGGGUGAUGGCCUACCAAGGCGGUGACGGGUCGCCGGCCUGGGAGGAUGGGCGGUCACAGUGCGGCUGCGCCGCCCACAAGACUCCUGCAGGCGGCAGCAGUGGAGAUUAUUGCACAAUCGGAGCACGGCUGGUGCAGCGCCGCGGCGUGGAAGAUGGUUGCCUUAUCGUUGUGCUCCUCUUUCGCCGGUGAAGCAGGACUGCAUCGUUUGUGGGUGGCUUGACGGUAGCUAGAUAAGAAGCGACGGCUAACUACGUG